GAUGAACGCUGGCGGCGUGCCUAAUACAUGCAAGUCGAGCGAACAGACGAGGAGCUUGCUCCUCUGACGUUAGCGGCGGACGGGUGAGUAACACGUGGAUAACCUACCUAUAAGACUGGGAUAACUUCGGGAAACCGGAGCUAAUACCGGAUAAUAUAUUGAACCGCAUGGUUCAAUAGUGAAAGACGGUUUUGCUGUCACUUAUAGCUGGAUCCGCGCCGCAUUAGCUAGUUGGUAAGGUAACGGCUUACCAAGGCAACGAUGCGUAGCCGACCUGAGAGGGUGAUCGGCCACACUGGAACUGAGACCCGGUCCAGACUCCUACGGGAGGCAGCAGUAGGGAAUCUUCCGCAAUGGGCGAAAGCUUGACGGAGCAACGCCGCGUGAGUGAUGAAGGUCUUCGGAUCGUAAAACUCUGUUAUUAGGGAAGAACGAAUGUGUAAGUAACUAUGCACGUCUUGACGGUACCUAAUCAGAAAGCCACGGCUAACUACGUG
Molecule: ribosomal RNA, 497 nt
Filed under: uncultured bacterium
Lineage: Bacteria
Description: partial 16S ribosomal RNA
Rfam family: Bacterial small subunit ribosomal RNA
Source: RNAcentral